UUUUAGCCCUGAUGGAAGCGGCAUCCUUAACACCCUUGGAGGGUUACAACCCUUCAAGGGUGUUAAGAUAUAGCGGACAGCAGGAUUAGCU
Molecule: small RNA, 91 nt
Filed under: Flavobacterium terrigena
Lineage: Bacteria; Pseudomonadati; Bacteroidota; Flavobacteriia; Flavobacteriales; Flavobacteriaceae
Description: Flavo-1 RNA
Rfam family: Flavo-1 RNA
Source: RNAcentral